Molecule: ribosomal RNA, 511 nt
Filed under: uncultured Acinetobacter sp.
Lineage: Bacteria; Pseudomonadati; Pseudomonadota; Gammaproteobacteria; Moraxellales; Moraxellaceae
Description: bacterial SSU rRNA
Rfam family: Bacterial small subunit ribosomal RNA
Source: RNAcentral
CUACUGGACCUAGCGGCGGACGGGUGAGUAAUGCUUAGGAAUCUGCCUAUUAGUGGGGGACAACGUUCCGAAAGGGACGCUAAUACCGCAUACGUCCUACGGGAGAAAGCAGGGGAUCUUCGGACCUUGCGCUAAUAGAUGAGCCUAAGUCGGAUUAGCUAGUUGGUGGGGUAAAGGCCUACCAAGGCGACGAUCUGUAGCGGGUCUGAGAGGAUGAUCCGCCACACUGGGACUGAGACACGGCCCAGACUCCUACGGGAGGCAGCAGUGGGGAAUAUUGGACAAUGGGGGGAACCCUGAUCCAGCCAUGCCGCGUGUGUGAAGAAGGCCUUUUGGUUGUAAAGCACUUUAAGCGAGGAGGAGGCUUACCUGGUUAAUACCCGGGAUAAGUGGACGUUACUCGCAGAAUAAGCACCGGCUAACUCUGUGCCAGCAGCCGCGGUAAUACAGAGGGUGCAAGCGUUAAUCGGAUUUACUGGGCGUAAAGCGCGCGUAGGUGGCUAAUUAAGUC